GCCUUAGUAACGGCGAGUGAAGCGGCAACAGCUCAAAUUUGAAAUCUGGACCCAGUCCCGAGUUGUAAUUUGCAGAGGAUGAUUUUGGCGCGGUGCCUUCCAAGUUCCCUGGGACGGGACGCCGGAGAGGGUGAGAGCCCCGUCAGGUUGGACACCAAGCCUAUGUAAAUCUCCUUCGACGAGUCGAGUAGUUUGGGAAUGCUGCUCUAAAUGGGAGGUAUAUGUCUUCUAAAGCUAAAUACCGGCCAGAGACCGAUAGCGCACAAGUAGAGUGAUCGAAAGAUGAAAAGCACUUUGGAAAGAGAGUUAAACAGCACGUGAAAUUGUUAAAAGGGAAGCGUUUACGACCAGACUUGUGCCGGUUGAUCAUCCAGCGUUCUCGCUGGUGCACUCUGCCGGCCCAGGCCAGCAUCAGUUCGCCGCGGGGGAUAAAGGCGUCGGGAAUGUGGCUCCCCCGGGAGUGUUAUAGCCCUUCGCGCAAUACCCUGAGGUGGACUGAGGUUCGCGCAUUCGCAAGGAUGCUGGCGUAAUGGUCGUCAACGACCCGUCUUGAAACACGGACCAAGGAGUCGUCUUCGUAUGCGAGUGUUCGGGUGUAAAACCCCUACGCGUAAUGAAAGUGAACGCAGGUGAGAGCUUCGGCGCAUCAUCGACCGAUCCUGAUGUUCUCGGAUGGAUUUGAGUAAGAGCAUACGGGGCCGGACCCGAAAGAAGGUGAACUAUGCCUGUAUAGGGUGAAGCCAGAGGAAACUCUGGUGGAGGCUCGCAGCGGUUCUGACGUGCAAAUCGAUCGUCAAAUAUGGGCAUGGGGGCGAAAGACUAAU
RNAcentral lists this ribosomal RNA (824 nucleotides) under Alfaria avenellae. RNAcentral's name for it is "eukaryotic LSU rRNA". It matches the Rfam family "Eukaryotic large subunit ribosomal RNA", at positions 77 to 935 of the family's 3401-position model. Lineage: Eukaryota; Fungi; Ascomycota; Sordariomycetes; Hypocreales; Stachybotryaceae. The record is from RNAcentral.